This 1588-nucleotide ribosomal RNA is filed under the name Picumnus innominatus. RNAcentral's name for it is "16S ribosomal RNA". It matches the Rfam family "Bacterial large subunit ribosomal RNA". The record is from RNAcentral. Lineage: Eukaryota; Metazoa; Chordata; Aves; Piciformes; Picidae.
AGCCAAUCUCUAGUCCAACCAACACCUACAAAUCCACCACCACCAUAAACUAAAACAUUCUAUGAACCAAGUAUGGGCGACAGAAAAGAACCCACGGCACUAUAGAGACCAAGUACCGCAAGGGAAAGAUGAAAUAACAAUGAAAACCUAAGCACAAAACAGCAAAGAUCAGCCCUUGUACCUUUUGCAUCAUGAUUCAGCAAGAACAACCAAGCAAAGUGAACUUAAGCUUGCCAUCCCGAAACUCUCGCGAGCUACUUACAAGCAGCUACACACUGAGCAAACCCGUCUCUGUCGCAAAAGAGUGGGAUGACUUGUUAGUAGAGGUGAAAAGCCAACCGAGCCGAGUGAUAGCUGGUUACCUGUGAAAUGAGUCCAAGCUCCACACUGAUAAGCUCCAACCAGCCCAAAACAACUGCCAACGAAGACACUCAGAAGUUAUUUAAAGGGGGUACAGCCCCUUUAAAAAAGAACACAAUCUACACCAGCGGAUAACACGAACCAUGACAACAAUGACUUGUAGGCCUUAAAGCAGCCACCAGCAAAGAGUGCGUCAAAGCUCACAUCCUAAAAAUAUAGAAAAUAACGGGAAUCCCUACCCGCACCAACAGGUUAACCUAUGAUGAUAGGAGAAUUAAUGCUGAAAUGAGUAACCAGGGUACUACCCUCGAGGCGCAAACUUACAUCACCACAUAAUUAACCAAGACAACAGAUAUAUCAAACCCCCCCCACAAGAUACUAUAUCACCCAACCCUGUUAAACCAACCCAGGAGCGCCAAACCUACGAAAGAUCUAAACUCGCAAAAGGAACUAGGCAAACCCAGAGCCCGACUGUUUACCAAAAACAUAGCCUUUAGCUAACCAAGUAUUAAAGGUGAUGCCUGCCCAGUGAUAUUAAUUCAACGGCCGCGGUAUCCUAACCGUGCAAAGGUAGCGCAAUCAAUUGUCCCAUAAAUCGAGACUUGUAUGAAUGGCUAAACGAGGUUCUAACUGUCUCCUGCGAACAAUCAGUGAAAUUGAUCUCCCCGUGCAAAAGCGUGGAUAAAUACAUAAGACGAGAAGACCCUGUGGAACUUUAAAAUCAACGACCACAACACCAAAACCCCAUAACCUACUAGGCCCACACCACCAACAAAACAAAUUGGUCCGUAUUUUUAGGCUGGGGCGGCCCUGGGGAAAAGCAAAACCCCCAGAAACAAGACCUCCAAUCUUAACCAAGAGCAACCCCUCAACGUGCUAACAGCCCAAGACCCAGUAUAACUGAGCAAUGAACCAAGCUACCCCAGGGAUAACAGCGCAAUCCCCUCCAAGAGCCCUCAUCGACAAGGGGGUUUACGACCUCGAUGUUGGAUCAGGACAUCCUAAUGGUGCAGCAGCUAUUAAGGGUUCGUUUGUUCAACGAUUAAUAGUCCUACGUGAUCUGAGUUCAGACCGGAGCAAUCCAGGUCGGUUUCUAUCUAUGAUGGAUUUUUCCUAGUACGAAAGGACCGAAAAAAUAAGGCCCAUACCCCAAGCACGCCUUCCCCCCAAGUGAAGAAUUCAACUCAACCACCUACGGGGCCAACAACACUAAUCCUAAAUAAGGACA